Gasterosteus aculeatus aculeatus (three-spined stickleback) is the source of this 2073-nucleotide long non-coding RNA. The record is from Ensembl. NCBI's taxonomy places the organism in Eukaryota, Metazoa, Chordata, Actinopteri, Perciformes, Gasterosteidae.
GCACGCUGAGUGUGUGAAUAGGUGCAAGCAAUUUGUGAGCAAAUGAGGAACAAACUCUCACAUUCACUUGUAAAGUAUUCAGGCUCAAUGCUGUGGCCAAACGGAUCUAAAAACAUCGCAGGCUCUAAUAGAUGUAUGUUUCUGUGGUUUGGUUGUGUGAUUCACCGGAAAUGCUAUCUGUGGUAUUCUGAGAAGCAGUUCGGCAAAAUGAUACGUGAGUACAUCAAAGUUCACUUAGACAAGCAUCUUCUUUGGAGUCGGUCUUAUAGGAUUGUUCUUCAUCAUGGCUGGACGCCUGCUGUUUGUCACCCUCAUGUAUUCCUGUGCCAAUACUAAAACACAAGCUCGUCCUCAACUCAUAAUGAAUUCAGCGGUGAUCUCAGAGACGGAAACAGUCACAUUGGACUGUCGAGCUCCAUCAUAUCCUACUGUCCACCAGUGUUAUUUCACCAUUAUCGGAGCAAAACAUGCCAAAGGCUUCACUUGUGUGCAGACACUGACAGGAACUGAACUGUUGAGGAUGUCAGACCAGAGAGCACCUGCUGAGGUUAAAGUGGAUUGUUAUUACACUGUAAUGGUUGGAGACGUGAAUCAUCCAUCUGCACACAGUGUCACAUCAUCCAUCACAAUCCAAACAGGUCUUUGUGCUUCCAGGCCUGUAACUACUGUAAAGCAAACAUCAGCAGGUCUCAGUGCUUCCAGGCCUGUAACUCGUAUAAAGCAAACACCAGCAGAUCAAACCUUUGGACCAAGAAACUCUGGUAGUUUUAGUUCUCCUCCCCUCACAACAGACAAACCAACAUCAGAUGUUGUCGAGUCGAGCACGACGCAGACUAAGCCGGCAUCUACUGUGACCACAGCAGGUCUCAGUGCUUCCACGCCUGUAACUCGUAUAAAGCAAACAUCAGCAGAUCAAACCUUUGGACCAAGAAACUCUGGUAGUUUUAGUUCUCCUCCCCUCACAACAGACAAACCAACAUCAGAAAUGCAGAGAUGGAUGUUCAUGGUGAUUGCGAUUUGUUUGGGAGGUUUUUUCUCUAUUUCCUUACUGGGACUGGGCCUUCUGUGUAGAAAAAGAACAUUGGGUAAGAACUUGACUUAUGUGUCAGAAAUCAUUGAGUUAUUCUUUGCUCCCUGCUGCUUGAUGAACUGACAAAGAAUUUGAGCAGAGGGUCAAAAGAGGCACUAAAGACCCUUUUGAACACAACUUGCACAUAACUCUGUUUAGAGAACAGCAUCGUUUACCACAUUUGCAUUAAUGUCAUUGGAUGUUAGUAGUUCCUCACCUGUAAGUAUUCCAGAGAGAGCUGGACUUCCAAGCAAACUGCCUUAUGUAACAAUAUGCUUUUCUCUCUGUUGUGUUUUUCAGAAAGAUGUUCUUAUAAGAGGUCACAAGCUGAUGUCACUGGUAAUAUGCACACGUAGUCAGACAUCAUCACUGAAUUAUUUCUAUACACAUUUAGAAUGUGGUCUUUCUGUUCUGUCACAUUUGCAGGUUCUGUGAAACUGGAGGAGCAAACAUUUACAAAUGAGAAUCCCAUAUACCAUCUCUACUCCACUAUCCCCGACGAGCCGCCUGCAUCAGCCCAGGAGGAAGCGAUGUACAGCUACCUGCAGCCACAGUUGAAGCACUAGCCUUUUAUACUGUAGAGAAACUGUUUGAGCGGAAAGUCUUCUUUAAUCCAUUUAUUUUACAUUUUUUAAACAUAAUAUUCUUUGCAAAAAUGCAAUGCCAAUUGUAACUAAUGAACAACAGGUCUCAGCUGGGUGGCACACUUGAUAUUUUGUUUUACAGGGAGAAAAGAUUAUUGAAUUUUUAUAUUGAAUUACAGAGAAUGGACGUUUACUUUUUGCAAUUGUUGAAUAUGUGCAAAGGUUUCAUUUUGUGAAGUUGGAGGCUGUUGAUUAGCACUACAUUGUAGACAGCUUCUUCUUUCUCUUUAAAGAUUCAAGUCAAAGAUGGGUCAGGAUUUUCUUCUGCAUGCUGUCAUAAAACAGCAUAAGCUUGCUUCUUUAGGACCUGUAACACGAUGCCUGCUCAAUAGAAUUAAACAAUUAAAAAAAUAAGAUAAC